CAGCAGCCGCGGGAAUACGGAGGGCGCGAGCGUUACCCGGAUUUACUGGGCGUAAAGGGCGUGUAGGCGGCCUGGGGCGUCCCAUGUGAAAGGCCACGGCUCAACCGUGGAGGAGCGUGGGAUACGCUCAGGCUAGAGGGUGGGAGAGGGUGGUGGAAUUCCCGGAGUAGCGGUGAAAUGCGCAGAUACCGGGAGGAACGCCGAUGGCGAAGGCAGCCGCCUGGUCCACUUCUGACGCUGAGGAGUGAAAGCGUGGGGAGCGAACAGGAUUAGAGACCCCGGUAGUCCCUGUCUCUUAUAC
RNAcentral lists this ribosomal RNA (301 nucleotides) under uncultured bacterium. Its description in RNAcentral is "partial 16S ribosomal RNA". It matches the Rfam family "Bacterial small subunit ribosomal RNA", at positions 509 to 807 of the family's 1533-position model. The record is from RNAcentral.